GAAAGUCUUCAGGGCAGGGUGUGAUUCCCGACCGGCGGUAAAGUCCGCGAGCAUAAGCUGAGUAGGUGAAAUUCCUACACCGACAGUAUAGUCUGGAUGGAAGAAUGACAUUU
This is a non-coding RNA of Coprobacillus sp. CAG:183, 113 nucleotides long. The record is from Rfam. NCBI's taxonomy places the organism in Bacteria, Bacillati, Bacillota, Erysipelotrichia, Erysipelotrichales, Coprobacillaceae.